Molecule: ribosomal RNA, 459 nt
Filed under: uncultured bacterium
Lineage: Bacteria
Description: partial 16S ribosomal RNA
Rfam family: Bacterial small subunit ribosomal RNA
Source: RNAcentral
CCUACGGGGGGCAGCAGUGAGGAAUAUUGGUCAAUGGGCGCGAGCCUGAACCAGCCAAGUCGCGUGAGGGAAGACGGUCCUAUGGAUUGUAAACCUCUUUUGUCGGGGAGCAAAAGACGCCACGCGUGGCGUUCCGAGAGUACCCGAAGAAAAAGCAUCGGCUAACUCCGUGCCAGCAGCCGCGGUAAUACGGAGGAUGCGAGCGUUACCCGGAUUGAUUGGGUUUAAGGGGUGCGCAGGCGGAAGAUCAAGUCAGCGGUAAAAUUGAGAGGCUCAACCUCGUCGAGCCGUUGAGACUGGUUAUCUUGAGUGAGCGAGAGGUAAGCGGAAUGCGAGGUGUAGCGGUGAAAUGCGUAGAUAUAACGCAGAACUCCGAUGGCGAAGGCAGCAUACCGGCGCUCAACUGACGCUCAUGCACGAAAGUGUGGGUAGCGAACAGGAUUAGAUACCCUUGUAGUC